Small nucleolar RNA from Gadus morhua (Atlantic cod), 139 nucleotides. Ensembl annotates it as small nucleolar RNA SNORD94. The record is from Ensembl. NCBI's taxonomy places the organism in Eukaryota, Metazoa, Chordata, Actinopteri, Gadiformes, Gadidae.
UUUGCCAUGAUGAGACGCGCAGGGGUACGGACCCCAGCCAGUAAUGGGGGCUGGGUGCUGGCCUGGGUCCUCUGUCGGCGGGCAUGUGGCCUACUGGCAGGGGAUGGGUCAGCACGAUACAGACGCUGGUCUGAGCAAA